Molecule: ribosomal RNA, 300 nt
Filed under: uncultured Roseomonas sp.
Lineage: Bacteria; Pseudomonadati; Pseudomonadota; Alphaproteobacteria; Acetobacterales; Roseomonadaceae
Description: bacterial SSU rRNA
Rfam family: Bacterial small subunit ribosomal RNA
Source: RNAcentral
GCUAAGCCGGGGCCGGGGGCGGGGGUGAUACGGAGGGUGCAAGCGUUAAUCGGAAUGACUGGGAGGAAAGCGGACGCAGGCGGUCUGUCAAGUCGGAUGGGGAAUCCCCGGGCUCAACCUGGGAACUGCAUUCGAAACUGGCAGGCUAGAGUCUUGUAGAGGGGGGUAGAAUUCCAGGUGUAGCGGUGAAAUGCGUAGAGAUCUGGAGGAAUACCGGUGGCGAAGGCGGCCCCCUGGACAAAGACUGACGCUCAGGUGCGAAAGCGUGGGGAGCAAACAGGAUUAGAUACCCUAGUAGUC